ACACGUGGGUAACCUGCCUUAUAGUGGGGGAUAGCCUUUCGAAAGGAAGAUUAAUACCGCAUAAGAUUGUAGUAUCGCAUGAUAUAGCAAUUAAAGGAGCAAUUCGCUAUAAGAUGGACCCGCGUCGCAUUAGCUAGUUGGUGAGGUAAUGGCUCACCAAGGCGACGAUGCGUAGCCGACCUGAGAGGGUGAUCGGCCACAUUGGAACUGAGACACGGUCCAGACUCCUACGGGAGGCAGCAUG
This 244-nucleotide ribosomal RNA is filed under the name uncultured bacterium. Its description in RNAcentral is "partial 16S ribosomal RNA". It matches the Rfam family "Bacterial small subunit ribosomal RNA", at positions 113 to 353 of the family's 1533-position model. The record is from RNAcentral.